RNAcentral lists this ribosomal RNA (444 nucleotides) under uncultured bacterium. RNAcentral describes it as "bacterial SSU rRNA". It matches the Rfam family "Bacterial small subunit ribosomal RNA", at positions 83 to 510 of the family's 1533-position model. The record is from RNAcentral.
AAGACCCUUUUAGCGGCGGACUGGUGAGUAACGCGUGGGUGACCUACCUUUAGCCGGGGAUAGCCGUUAGAAAUAGCGGGUAAUAACGGAUGAGAUCGCAAGAUUGUGAUUUUGCGAGGAAAGAUGCUACGGCAUCGCCUGAAGAUGGGCCCGCGUCCCAUUAGCUAGUUGGUGGUGUAACGGACUACCAAAGCGAAGAUGGGUAGCCGGCUGAAAGGGUGAACGGCACACUGGGACUGAGAUACGGCCAGACUCCUACGGGAGGCAGCCAGCUAACGAAUAUUCCGCAAUGGACGAAAGUCUGACAGUGAGCGACGCCGCGUGGAUCGAGGAAGGCCGAAACGGUUGUCCAAAUCCUUUAUAUUGCUGAAGAAUAAGCGCGGUAGGGAAUGACCGCGUGAUAGACGUUAGGCAAUGAAUAAUGCCCCGGCUAAUUACGUGCCA